RNAcentral lists this ribosomal RNA (1399 nucleotides) under uncultured organism. RNAcentral's name for it is "bacterial SSU rRNA". It matches the Rfam family "Bacterial small subunit ribosomal RNA". The record is from RNAcentral.
UUGAUCCUGGCUCAGGAUGAACGCUGGCGGCAUGCCUGAGAUAUGCAAGUCGAACGGUACGUUUCGGGAGCUUGCUCCUGAAACACGAGUGGCGAACGGCUGAGUAACGCGUAGGAAUCUGCCCUAAAGUGGGGGAUAGCUCCUGGAAACGGGAGGUAAUACCGCAUGUGCCUUGCUUGCAAGGUAAAGGAUUUAUUCGCUUUAGGAUGAGCCUGCGUCCUAUCAGGUAGUUGGUGAGGUAACUGCUCACCAAGCCUAUGACGGGUAGCUGGCCUCAUGAGGGUGGUCAGCCAGAGGGGGACUGAGACACGGCCCCCACUCCUACGGGAGGCAGCAAUCAGGAAUAGUCGGCAAUGGAGGAAACUCUGACCGCGCAAUGCCGCGUGUAGGAUGACGCUUUAACGAGUGUAAACUACUGUGGAAUAGGAUGAAGGCGUAAGCUUGACAGUACUAUUCUAGAAAGGGGCCGCUAACUGCGUGCCAGAAGCGUCGGUAAUACGUGGGCCCCAAGCGUUAUCCGGUGUUACUGGGCGUAAAGUGUCGCGUAGGCGGCUUGGCAAGUCACCUUUUAAAUUCCAAUGCUCAACAUUGGAACUGGGGGUGAUACUGCCUUGCUAGAGUUACCUAUAGGGUGAAUAGAACUGUGGGAGGAGUAGUGAAAUGCGUUGAUCCCCACGGGAAUACCAGAGGCGAAGGCGAUUCACUGAUAGGUAUCUGACGCUGAGGCACGAAAGCUAGGGGAGCGAAGCAGAUUAGAGACCUGCGUAGUCCUAGCCGUAAACGCAUGCUUGCUAGCUGCAUUGCCAGCCCCCUUCGGGGGGUGUAGGUGUGGCGAAGGUAACCCGUUAAGCAAGCCGCCUGGGGAUUACGGCCGCAAGGCUAAAACUCAAAGGAAUUGGCGGGGAGGCACACAACCAGUGGAACAUGUGGUUCAAUUCGAAACAAACCGAAGCACCUCACCGGGGUUUGACAUGCAAUUGCUAAUCCUAUGAAAGUAGGACUCCUUCGAGGGUAUUGCACAGGUGCUGCAUGGCUGUCGUCAGUUCGUUCCGUGAGGAGUGCCCUUAAGUGGGACAACGAACGCAACCCCCAUCGUAUGUUACAAGUGUCAUACGAAACUGCCCCCGAGUUCUCGGGGGAGGAAGGAGGGGCAGACGUCAAGUCAGCAUGGUCCUUACGCCCCGGGCUACACACAUGUUACAAUGGACAAUAACAAUGGGCAGCAAACCGGCGACGGUAAGCUAAUCUCAGAAAUUUGUCCUCAGUGGGGAUUGUAGUCUGCAAUUCGACUACAUGAACGCGGAAUUGGUAGUAAUCGCGGAUCAGCUAUGCCGCGGUGAUACGUUCUUGCCUCUUGCACACACCGCCCGUCAAGCCAACAAAGUCGGCAUUAUCUGAA